UUUAAGUCAUUAAACUGAGAUACCGUUUCUUUUUUGCAAAAGAAACCCUGUACUUUGGUAUAUUCAACCCGCCGUCCAUACGUCUGAUUUUAUUAUUUGGGAGCGGAUCAAAUCGGCGGCUCGAGCGGUGACGGCGGCGACGGCUCGAGCUUGCAGGGGCUGGGGGCAGAUCCGGAGGCGGGGGUCGCCGGUGACGACGAGGAAGGCGGAGCACGGGCGGAUCCAUGGCAUCCGCAGCUCCUGGGCACAAAGGAGAUAGGGAGGCCAGGGAGAGAAGAAGGAAGAAAGGAGGGGUUGUGCGGCGACCUAGCGAGGAGCUCGCCGGAGCUGGGCGAAGGCGGACUGGCGUGGGAGACGGAGGGGUCCGGCGCAGUCCUUGCAGGUGGAGGCAGGCGUCGAAGCAGAGGACGAGAGGAUCCCCAGCCUAAUUGUGGCAUGCACUCAGCUUCCCCGAUCCAUCCCCUCCUACCCAUCCGGCCCUUCCUCGAUGGCCCGCAUGCGACGAGCCCCUACGCGGGGUAAGAAGGGGGAUCGCGCGAGGUGGAGCACUCCAGCCCCCUCCUAGCCCUACCACGAAAUUUGUUGAAGCUAAAGAUGAAGAGGAACUCGUGGAAGAGGAAAAAAUGACAUGGUAGAAACUCAUUCACACAUAUCAGGGUCAUAAUGAGAGGAUUGAUCUGCUUGAUUCGCUCCUGAUGGUCGGUGGAUUGUUUCUGGUAGGGCUAAGAGUUCUGUGAAGGUAAGAUUUUGAUCCAACCUAUUAAGCAGUACCACACAAAUUACAGGAGAAUCUGUUGUUUGGUCCAACCUAUAAAGGUGCCAUAUAUGCUCAGUUGCUCACAACAGUGCUAAUAUUAACAAGGUGAAUAAACUCCUGCUCUAGCGGAAGAUAUCCUUUAUAUUUUUGGGGUCACUGAUACCUGUACAAAAACAUAAGAUGUUUUCCUAGAUAACAUCUUUCCUCCAAAAUAAUUUAUAUAUCAUCUAGACUUGGUUAGUUGUAACUUUUGCUUUCUGUUCUUUCCACACGCUUCUGUAGGUUCAAAUGACAAUUGUUAAAUUUUGGGACCUUAAGACUUUUUAGUUGAUUGCAUCCUCUAGACCGGGAGGUAUAAUAGCAUAUCCCAAUUGUCUAAUUGAUGAUUCAGAAAGCUCUGGCUCUACUCAUGUAUAUCAGUUUAUAUUCGGAUUGUGAAGUACUCCUUCUAUAAAGAAAUAUAAGAGCGUUUAGUUCUAUAAAACAUAUUUAUAUGUAGUUAUCCAACAAAUUUAUGUCCUAAAAUCUUACAACUUCUCUUAAGCUGUUUUUUUGCAGGAAAGCUGUAUUUGAUCAUAACCUUGGCUUAAAUGCAAUUUAAUUUCAACCUCAAAUUUGGUGAUUUUUUGAAUGGGCACAACUGUGUCGGUAGAGGACUAGAGGUUGACAGUUAUGAAUUUUGUGAUAAUCUUUGGUUAUACUGUUAUAUAUAGCACUUUCCAGGUUAUAUGGUUCAAAUUCUUUGAGCCAAUUCACAAUGACCAUUCCAGAUUUGGGCCUUGCAUUUUUAAAUUAUUUUGUAACAUUUUGGUUGAUCUUUGAUGCUGCUCCUUAAUUUUUUACAUUGACUGGUGUAGAACUAAAUGAGUGUUGCCAUUCAAGGGAAGCCCCAAGCUUUUAAACAGUAUAUGAAUGUUGUUAGCUUGGUCCUUCACAAAUAAGUCCCUUGAUGUGUGUCAUCUGUCAUUGCGUAUAAGAUCUGGUCUUUCUAUUUUGCAUUGAUUUUUCUUCUCCCGGUGCACUGAAUCUGCAAGGGCGUGUAGACGGUAGGAUGAGCAGCAGCAUGCCGGUGGUAAGACAGGGCGUGUUGGCGUACGCGAAAGAAGCCAUGCAUGAAUCUUCGUGGCGGAUGCUUGCUGGCCGUAGUGGCAGCACCAAUUCAAGCUGGGAGGCGGGAAGCUGGAGUAGCAGGAACGAUUGGUCGUCCAUUAGGCAUGAACCCAACUCCACUGUACUCCCUUUUCUUUCCAUAACCAAUUCUUUGGAGCAGACAUGUGGGUACAGUUACAUAGCCUGAAGAUUGUUUGCUUUUUUUGGUUAGUUCAGAUUUAGAUUUCUCAGAUAUUCACUAUUUGAUCAAUCGAUCCAUGUAGAUCUCAUUGACAUCACUACAAGAAACCUGUUAAUUCAUGACAGAUUUCGGAUGA
Molecule: long non-coding RNA, 2184 nt
Organism: Aegilops tauschii subsp. strangulata
Lineage: Eukaryota; Viridiplantae; Streptophyta; Magnoliopsida; Poales; Poaceae
Source: RefSeq, a predicted model, not a curated record